CGCCGCUGCCGCAGCCCUCCCGAGCCCUCUCCCAGUGCUAGGCUGGCCUGGCGCCGCUUCCCUCUGCGUCCCGCUGACCUGUCAAUUCACCUCACGGUUGGAGCGGGCGGAGACUGAGCGGGGACUCUUCGGCACCUCUUCCCCGCUCAGGCUCUGGAGCCCGCAAGUCCGGCGGUCAGUCGGUCCUUACGCCACGCUGAGGGACAUGGACUUCAUUUGGACAAGUUGAUUACUUUUCUGAGCCUUUCAAACUGCUGCUUCGCGUCACUGGAGACAGCCUGGUUUCCCCUGGAAAGAUCACUGAAGUCAGCUUAAGUGGGCCGAGGAAACCAUGAGAGACCUGUCACAAUGGAUUUCAUCUCUUCAUCUGCCCGGGAAGAAGGACUUGGUCAUUAAUGUAGAAGCACUAAGAAUCAUCGGAGCUGGAGAGUAUAGUCCAAUGGUGAGCUCAGAAGAGGAUAAUGGCUACUGGCCCCUGCCACAUCUCCAGACCUGGGAAGCCAUGUCACUGCUGCCUACAGCAAUAGGAAUGCCCUGUUUUUGAACCCCUAGCAGCCAGGGCAUAUUUUUACGAUGACACUUGCCACUCUGUCAGAUAUGCCCUUUGUAUCUCCUGGCUCCUAACACAAUGUCUAGGGAAUAGUAGGGGCUCAGUAAAUGUAUAUUGAAUGAAUGAAUAUAUGGAUUGUACUCUGUUGAAAUGUGUGGCUGUCAUCAAGUCAGCAGAGAGAGAACACAGGGAAUGGCCAAAGUAGUAUUAAAAUAUUUUAAUAGCCUAUAUUGAUGGACCAGAGCAAUAAAAUAAAAUUUAACUAGUGCAAAUGUAACUUAAAGUCUACAUUUAGUUAGUUUAAAAAAAAAAUCAAUUGCCUAAAGAGUGGAUGAUGCCUGAAGGGGUGCAGUCCAUAUUUUAAAAAGUCAGUAGUGGGUAAAUCUUACUAGGCUCUAAGCUCGAUGUGAAGUAAGAGUGUGAUGUAGCUGCUAAAACGGGGUUGGAUUCCGUAAGUAUAAACUGGGUCUAGAUCAAUGCAGGUGACAUUCCCUGUAGCUUUUGAACUCGCUCAGGUCACAAGUGGGGCAUGACGUUCAUUUGAGUUUCUAUUAUUAGCCAUACCUUAACUCGGGGCCAGUGCUUUAGUUUCUAAAGUGUUUUACCAGGCAUUAUCUUGUUACAUUGGCCUAAUAAGAUGGUUUAUAUACUGGCAAGAGCAAGCUAACUUGCUCAAGGUCACUUAGCUGGUGAGUGUCAGAGCACUGCCUUCUGACCCCUUUUCUGCUACAUCAUGCCACUUUUAUGUGGACCAGAGCCCCUGCUGUGCAGCCUCUAAAAGCAAGGCUGGCAUGAUGCUUGUCAAGUGCUGGCAACAGUGGACAUGCUCAGAUGGGCACUUCGCCAUCAGGCAGCCCGACAGUGAUGCCUCAGAAACCACUUUUCCUAACUCGGGAGGACUUUGACAUCCGUAAGCACAGUGACCCUGGCCUGUUUCAAAAUCAACAACAGAAAAACAUCAAACAUCACCUCACCUCUAAAUGAGUCCUGGAAAGGACAAAUCUCCAUUUUCUGCUCUUCAGAUCUUAUGGGAAGGAUUUGUGAGCCGGGUUGUGAAAUAGGAAGAGGAAAGGGAAAAGUGCUGAAAUCUGUCAGGUGCCUAUUAAAUGUCUGAGUCAAGACAUUUCACAUUUAAUUGAGUUUCCUGUUCUUAACACAGUACCUGUCUCUGCAGCCUCACUGCUCACCCUGGUCACCAUUUGACUGCUCUACUUCCUGGCGUUGGGCUGUCAUAAUAAUCUCUCACAUCCAUUGGUUUUCCCCAAUGGUUAUUUUAUCCACUUUCCCAAAGCCUGCAAAGAAAAAAAAAAUGUAUGAUCUUAUAUGUGGAAUCUAAAAAAGUUUAAUACAUAGAAGCAGAGUGUAAAAUGGUGGUUACCAGGGGUAGGGACUGGGGUGAUAUUGGUCAAAGGGUACAAAGUUGCAAUGAUGUAAGACGAGUGAGUCUCAUGAUCUAAUGUACAGCGUGAUGGCUAUUCUUAAUAACACUAUUGAAUACUGGAAAUAUGCUAAGACAGUAAAAUUCAGGUGCUUUCAUCACAGAAAGGUAACUAUGUGAGAUGAUAUGUUAAUCAGCUUGACUAGUAAUCAUUUCACUAUCUGUAUAUCAAAUCAUCAUUUUUAUUAAAAAAAAAAGGCAAAACAAAAAAGAGGUGGGUAGGACAGAGAUUAUUCCCUCAUUUCACAAUGACACACAAGAAUGCUCUUCCAUCCUUUUGUCCAUCCAGUCAUCAUCCAUCCAUCCAUCCAUCCAUCCAUCCAUCCUUUUAUUCAUUCUACUUUUUAUUAAACUACUCCUAUAGCCUAAGGUCUGUGUAAUGCACUAGGGAAGCAAAAAUGUCUGGCAAGCUAUUGGGAGCCAUAUAUAAACUCAUAAUAAAAAGAGGUUAUCAUUUAUAAGUAAGGGCUUAUAAAUAGGAAGGCCAUGCUUUCAGGUGGUGUGGUGGUGGGCUGUCAUUGCAGAUCUUGACCAGUAGGUGGCGUUCUGGGUUCCAGGAGGCUCGAGAGCCUUUUUCAGACUUCCAGGCCAAGCUUUCAUUUUAUAUUCAUCACCGUACUUAAAAUCGGAUUCUAAGUCAUAACAUUGAAAAGCUGUAUUCAAUUUGAUUUUAAUUCCAUUUAUUUGCCCUUAAUUGUCCCAUGCCUUUCUAAAAAUGGUCAAAUUAAAUCUAGUGUCAGGGCUUUCUGGGUAAGUGAAAGACAUAUCCAGGAAAUUUGGACUCCUAAAUAAAUUAGCAUCUCCAGUGACUGGUACUAGGUCCCAGAUUCCUUUCUUAGGAAAUGCUCGUGAAAAGUUAAUACUAUUGGGUAAAUAUGUGGAAGAAUACACUUUAAGAUGUUAGUUAUGAUAUCUCCCAGUGAUGGGAAUAGAGAUGGUUUUUGUUUUGUUCUUUAUGCUUGUACUUUAUUCAUUUUUUACAAUGAGUGUAUAUUAAUCUUUUUGUUUGUCUUUAGUUUUUCAUUGAAGUAUAACCCACGAAUGGAAAAGUAUGCAAAUCUUAAGCAGCUGGAUCUAUAUAUUUAUAUGCAUGUGUAACCUAUACCCAGAUUAAGAUACACAUUGUUAAAACCCCAAAAAGUUCCCUCAUGUCCUUUCUCAGUAACCCUCCUCACUCUUGCCCCCUGCCCGCCAAGAAUCACUAUUCUAUCAUCAUAGAUUACUUUUAAGUAUUUUUGAACUUUAUAUAUAUGGAAUCAUACAGGAUAUCUUCUUUUGUAUCUGGAUUCUUAUUCAAUAUUAUUUCUUUAAGUUGAUGUGUAUGAAUACAUAAAAACUCACCAAUCUGU
This is a long non-coding RNA of Pteropus alecto (black flying fox), 3337 nucleotides long. RefSeq lists it as uncharacterized. Lineage: Eukaryota; Metazoa; Chordata; Mammalia; Chiroptera; Pteropodidae. The transcript has 3 exons. The record is from RefSeq and is a predicted model, not a curated record.